RNAcentral lists this ribosomal RNA (253 nucleotides) under uncultured bacterium. RNAcentral describes it as "partial 16S ribosomal RNA". It matches the Rfam family "Bacterial small subunit ribosomal RNA", at positions 524 to 776 of the family's 1533-position model. The record is from RNAcentral.
UACGUAGGGUGCAAGCGUUAAUCGGAAUUACUGGGCGUAAAGCGUGCGCAGGCGGUUUUGUAAGACUGUCGUGAAAUCCCCGGGUUUAACCUGGGAAUGGCGAGGGUGACUGCAAGGCUAGAGUUUGGCAGAGGGGGGUAGAAUUCCACGUGUAGCAGUGAAAUGCGUAGAGAUGUGGAGGAACACCGAUGGCGAAGGCAGCCCCCUGGGUCAAAACUGACGCUCAUGCACGAAAGCGUGGGGAGCAAACAGG